RNAcentral lists this transfer RNA (75 nucleotides) under Marmota monax (woodchuck). RNAcentral's name for it is "tRNA.Ala". It matches the Rfam family "tRNA". From Rfam's summary of the family: Transfer RNA (tRNA) molecules are approximately 80 nucleotides in length. Lineage: Eukaryota; Metazoa; Chordata; Mammalia; Rodentia; Sciuridae. The record is from RNAcentral.
ACUGGGGAUAUGGCUUAGUGGUAGAGUGCUUGCCUGGCAUGUGUGAGGCCCUGGGUUCAAUCCCCAGCCCCAGAA